RNAcentral lists this ribosomal RNA (827 nucleotides) under Staphylococcus sp. RNAcentral's name for it is "bacterial SSU rRNA". It matches the Rfam family "Bacterial small subunit ribosomal RNA", at positions 126 to 942 of the family's 1533-position model. The record is from RNAcentral. Lineage: Bacteria; Bacillati; Bacillota; Bacilli; Caryophanales; Staphylococcaceae.
CUACCUAUAAGACUGGGAUAACUUCGGGAAACCGGAGCUAAUACCGGAUAAUAUAUUGAACCGCAUGGUUCAAUAGUGAAAGACGGUUUUGCUGUCACUUAUAGAUGGAUCCGCGCCGCAUUAGCUAGUUGGUAAGGUAACGGCUUACCAAGGCAACGAUGCGUAGCCGACCUGAGAGGGUGAUCGGCCACACUGGAACUGAGACACGGUCCAGACUCCUACGGGAGGCAGCAGUAGGGAAUCUUCCGCAAUGGGCGAAAGCCUGACGGAGCAACGCCGCGUGAGUGAUGAAGGUCUUCGGAUCGUAAAACUCUGUUAUUAGGGAAGAACAAAUGUGUAAGUAACUAUGCACGUCUUGACGGUACCUAAUCAGAAAGCCACGGCUAACUACGUGCCAGCAGCCGCGGUAAUACGUAGGUGGCAAGCGUUAUCCGGAAUUAUUGGGCGUAAAGCGCGCGUAGGCGGUUUUUUAAGUCUGAUGUGAAAGCCCACGGCUCAACCGUGGAGGGUCAUUGGAAACUGGAAAACUUGAGUGCAGAAGAGAGAGUGGAAUUCCAUGUGUAGCGGUGAAAUGCGCAGAGAUAUGGAGGAACACCAGUGGCGAAAGCGACUUUCUGGUCUGUGACUGACGCUGAUGUGCGAAAGCGUGGGGAUCAAACACGAUUAUAUACCCUGGUAUUCCACACCGUAAACGAUGAGUGCUAAGUGUUAAGGGGGUUUCCGCCCCUUAAUGCUGGCAGCUAAGUAUUAUGACUACUACUGCGGAGUACGACGCACGUGGUACUCACAUGAAGUUAAUAGGGAGCCCACCCCACCGUGGUGCAGCU